This 437-nucleotide small RNA is filed under the name Pan troglodytes (chimpanzee). RNAcentral describes it as "processed transcript". Lineage: Eukaryota; Metazoa; Chordata; Mammalia; Primates; Hominidae. The record is from RNAcentral.
GGAAGUAUGGCUGCUGCCCAAUGCCCAACGCCACCUGCUGCUCCGAUCACCUGCACUGCUGCCCCCAAGACACUGUGUGUGACCUGGUCCAGAUGGGGGAUGUGAAAUGUGACAUGGAGGUGAGCUGCCCAGAUGGCUAUACCUGCUGCCGUCUACAGUCAGGGGCCUGGGGCUGCUGCCCUUUUACCCAGGCUGUGUGCUGUGAGGACCACAUACACUGCUGUCCCGCGGGGUUUACGUGUGACACGCAGAAGGGUACCUGUGAACAGGGGCCCCACCAGGUGCCCUGGAUGGAGAAGGCCCCAGCUCACCUCAGCCUGCCAGACCCACAAGCCUUGAAGAGAGAUGUCCCCUGUGAUAAUGUCAGCAGCUGUCCCUCCUCCGAUACCUGCUGCCAACUCAUGUCUGGGGAGUGGGGCUGCUGUCCAAUCCCAGAG